GGGGAAUUUUGGACAAUGGGGGCAACCCUGAUCCAGCCAUGCCGCGUGAGUGAAGAAGGCCUUCGGGUUGUAAAGCUCUUUCGGACGGAAAGAAAUCGCCGCCUCUAACAUAGGCGGUGGAUGACGGUACCGUAAGAAGAAGCACCGGCUAACUACGUGCCAGCAGCCGCGGUAAUACGUAGGGUGCGAGCGUUAAUCGGAAUUACUGGGCGUAAAGCGUGCGCAGGCGGUUUGGUAAGACAGGUGUGAAAGCCCCGGGCUCAACCUGGGAACUGCAUCCAAAACUGGCGAGCUAGAGUAUGGCAGAGGGUGGUGGAAUUCCACGUGUAGCAGUGAAAUGCGUAGAGAUGUGGAGGAACACCGAUGGCGAAGGCAGCCCCCUGGGCCUGUACUGACGCUCAUGCACGAAAGCGUGGGGAGCAAACA
RNAcentral lists this ribosomal RNA (426 nucleotides) under uncultured beta proteobacterium. RNAcentral's name for it is "bacterial SSU rRNA". It matches the Rfam family "Bacterial small subunit ribosomal RNA", at positions 356 to 774 of the family's 1533-position model. Lineage: Bacteria; Pseudomonadati; Pseudomonadota; Betaproteobacteria. The record is from RNAcentral.